This 253-nucleotide ribosomal RNA is filed under the name uncultured microorganism. RNAcentral describes it as "partial 16S ribosomal RNA". It matches the Rfam family "Bacterial small subunit ribosomal RNA", at positions 524 to 776 of the family's 1533-position model. The record is from RNAcentral.
UACGUAGGGUGCGAGCGUUAAUCGGAUUUACUGGGCGUAAAGCGUGCGCAGGCGGGCAUGUGCGUCGGAGGUUAAAUACAACGGCUUAACCGUUGAACUGCCUUCGAAACGGCAUGUCUUGAAUGUGGGAGAGGAUGAUGGAAUUCCUGGUGUAGCGGUGAAAUGCGUAGAUAUCAGGAGGAACACCGGUGGCGAAGGCGGUCAUCUGGCCCACUAUUGACGCUGAGGCACGAAAGCGUGGGGAGCAAACAGG